CUUCUUCUUCUUCUUCUUCUUCUCAAGUCUCUUGUCUUCUAGUGAAUUUAGGGUUUCAACAUUUUACUAUAAAUAGAUCACUUUAGGGUUUGUCCAAAGGAUCUAGCUUUUAUCCUUUAGUUUUUCUUUGUCUUCAAAACUUAAUUACUCUUAAUCUAUUUUGUUUUUGCAUUUAGUUGUUUAAGUAAAGUUGUUUAGCUUGUUUAGAUCUACAUUUUGGUAUGAUUUCAGUAAUUUCUGGGUUUGUGUUCUUGAGAAUGUUGGUUGAGUAGUGAUUAGAGUUCUUGAGGAUGGAUUAGAUUAGGGUAAUCUCUAGGUUAGUUAGGUGGUUAGUGUUUAGGUUAGAACCCUUCUGGAUUCGCUUGGCCCCUAUGCGGUUUUCGCUGGCUAAUGUGGAGAUUCGAUCAUAGAUGUCCAGCGUCCAAAAGACGUUCAAAUGGAUGUCUGAUCUACGAAUUUCAGAGAUUUGUAGACUCGACCAAGACACGUCUUGUCUGCUUAUUGGCUUUGGUAGAUUGUUUCUUAAACCCUGCUCUGCUAUGUUUCAUCAACGAUAGUUGAGAUUAGGAAGUGGUAGAGUUAUGGGGGUCUUUGUCAAGGCAGUGGAUUGACCCGGUUUUUGAAUCUAUCGUCAAGGGUACCCACCUUUCACCUAUUAACCAUCUGAUGAACCCUAGAGUUGCCCUUAUCAAUGAAUCCAUCCUUAGGACUUCUAUUAGAUUUAUUUGUAUCCCCUGUUGAUUGCACUUUUAUUUACCUGUUAUUUGUAUCCCUUAUUUGUAUCCCUUGUUGAUUGCAUUUUGAUUCUUAAUUUUGUCACCUGUUGGUUUUACUCGACCCAAUGAUCGAGUAGGGCUCUUAAGUUCUCAUUUUUACUUGUUUGAAUCCUGACCUAGGAUUGUUACUAGAAACCCACCAUCAUUAUAAUCUGGCUUGACUUAGUUGCUUCUGUACACGUCUUGAUUGCUAGCAAUAACAGUGGACUGGAUUGACACCCCCUAUAGCUGCAUCGACAUGUUAGUGUUUGUAGGGGAAUUGAACUGAAUCACACAUUCAACAUAAGUAGGCCUACAAAACCUGAUUCUCAAUUUUGCGCUGUUGCCGAUUCAUUGUUGCAUUGUUACAUUCAAGAUAUCAAAAACUUUUAAGAUCAAGUUCUUUUACAUUUAUCAAGUUACUAACUCAUAUUUUCGUCCGUUUGUUUUUUCUGGUACAAGUUCUAAUCUUUGUGCAUGCAAACUCGAUCCAAAGGUUUUGCACACCUACUACCAUUUAGAGACAGAAUUGACAGAAUAGCUCAGUUACAAGAAACCAAAGCAAAAGCAGCCUGUGAUCAGCAAAGACCAGCUGCUAUGGAUCAACAGAACAGACAAGUUGAUGUUCAAGAACCACCUAAUGUUGAUCAACAAGAAACAUUGGUGCUGGUGAUGCCCCAAGGAAUCAUCACCAAACA
RNAcentral lists this small RNA (1453 nucleotides) under Arabidopsis thaliana (thale cress). RNAcentral's name for it is "ATSL274240". The record is from RNAcentral. Lineage: Eukaryota; Viridiplantae; Streptophyta; Magnoliopsida; Brassicales; Brassicaceae.